UACGAAGGGGGCUAGCGUUGCUCGGAAUCACUGGGCGUAAAGCGCACGUAGGCGGAUUGUUAAGUCAGGGGUGAAAUCCUGGAGCUCAACUCCAGAACUGCCUUUGAUACUGGCGAUCUUGAGUCCGGGAGAGGUGAGUGGAACUGCGAGUGUAGAGGUGAAAUUCGUAGAUAUUCGCAAGAACACCAGUGGCGAAGGCGGCUCACUGGCCCGGUACUGACGCUGAGGCGCGAAAGCCAGGGGAGCGAACGGG
This 253-nucleotide ribosomal RNA is filed under the name uncultured bacterium. Its description in RNAcentral is "partial 16S ribosomal RNA". It matches the Rfam family "Bacterial small subunit ribosomal RNA", at positions 524 to 776 of the family's 1533-position model. The record is from RNAcentral.